This 82-nucleotide non-coding RNA is filed under the name Legionella shakespearei DSM 23087. RNAcentral's name for it is "Legionella RNA 69". It matches the Rfam family "Legionella RNA 69". Lineage: Bacteria; Pseudomonadati; Pseudomonadota; Gammaproteobacteria; Legionellales; Legionellaceae. The record is from Rfam by way of RNAcentral.
AGACAGCGCUAUCGCGCUUCCUCAGCCCGAACGGCAUCGAAGUAACGACUGGAUAAAACAAGCUUCUUAUCCAUAACUCACG